RNAcentral lists this long non-coding RNA (1010 nucleotides) under Zonotrichia albicollis (white-throated sparrow). RNAcentral's name for it is "lncRNA (ENSZALG00000005186.1)". Lineage: Eukaryota; Metazoa; Chordata; Aves; Passeriformes; Passerellidae. The record is from RNAcentral.
GGCGAGACUGCCCGGCUCACAGGAUGGUCACUACUGCCCUGGAAAGGCCCUGGGCCCAGGGGCUUCGCUACAGCGCUGCCGGCUUUGCCCUCAGCCCCCGCUCCCCCUCCAGCUCCAAACAAGUUCGUGGCUCAGCCCUUAAUCUCUGGGAUGAAAUGUCCUGCUGACACGGCCGGUGCUGUCCCGGGGAGAGCUCCCGCUUAUCCCAGCCCUGCAGCUCUUCCCUUUGUUCCCAGCUGGCUUCCAGUCCCCGCGGCGGUGCCAGAGCCACGAUGUGUGUGCAGUGACAGGGAAGUGCAUUCGGGGAUGGCGGGAGAGCGUCACGGUCUGCCCUCCGUGCCCGCACGGUGCGGUGCCAGGGCCGCUGUGCUGCGCCCAUGGAGUCGGGGAGGAAUCCCAAUGGGGGAACAUGCUCCCAGUCUUAUCCCUGGAGGCUGGCAAGCCCCGCAUGAACUAAGGUGCAAAUCAGAAGCUGUGUCUCUGCAGCGCAGAUCUUGCCGUUUCCAACAUGAGGCAGUGCGUGUCACCGGCUGGGGCAUCACCCGGGGUUUCGCCCCGGUCCCUCCCGCUUCACCCCUCUUUGAGGCCUCGAGCAGGCAGGCAGCAGCAAGGCUGUGGCACGUUUUGUCCUGCUCUGUGUUCUCUGGAAAAGGACCUUGUUUUCUCCCCGGUACCCGUCUGAUUCCUGACAAUGCCCCAAGUGUCUGCGAGGACACGCACGUUACUCUGGGUCACGUCCGCCUGCAAGCAGAGCCUGGGCUGCGCUCCCCUUGCCGGCGGACAGCCGAGGACAGCCCGGGCAGAGCCCCACGGCCGAUGGAACAGCGCGAAACCAGCCCUUCCUCCUCUACGUGCGUGCGCUCAUCCAGCGCCACGGGAACAUUUGGGUCGGGCCCAGGCGAGAGCAGUUAGAGGAGAAAAAAACCACAGCGGCCUGCACAGAGGCAUUCAGCACUGAUCCGUGUCCUCACGGGCCGCACCGGCUGCGCGAGGGUGCUCCCAGCCCCGAG